This 313-nucleotide ribosomal RNA is filed under the name uncultured Lactobacillus sp. RNAcentral's name for it is "bacterial SSU rRNA". It matches the Rfam family "Bacterial small subunit ribosomal RNA", at positions 381 to 688 of the family's 1533-position model. Lineage: Bacteria; Bacillati; Bacillota; Bacilli; Lactobacillales; Lactobacillaceae. The record is from RNAcentral.
GUCUGAUGGAGCACGCCGCGUGAUGAUGAAGGGUUUCGGCUCGUAAAACUCUGUUGUUGGAGAAGAACAGGUGUGAGAGUAACUGUUCACAUCUUGACGGUAUCCAACCAGAAAGCCACGGCUAACUACGUGCCAGCAGCCGCGGUAAUACGUAGGUGGCAAGCGUUGUCCGGAUUUAUUGGGCGUAAAGCGAGCGCAGGCGGUUUCUUAGGUCUGAUGUGAAAGCCUUCGGCUUAACCGGAGAAGUGCAUCGGAAACCGGGAGACUUGAGUGCAGAAGAGGACAGUGGAACUCCAUGUGUAGCGGUGAAAUC